UGGGGAAUUUUGGACAAUGGGCGAAAGCCUGAUCCAGCAAUGCCGCGUGUGUGAAGAAGGCCUUCGGGUUGUAAAGCACUUUUGUCCGGAAAGAAAUGGCUCUGGUUAAUACCUGGGGUCGAUGACGGUACCGGAAGAAUAAGGACCGGCUAACUACGUGCCAGCAGCCGCGGUAAUACGUAGGGUCCAAGCGUUAAUCGGAAUUACUGGGCGUAAAGCGUGCGCAGGCGGUUGUGCAAGACCGAUGUGAAAUCCCCGAGCUUAACUUGGGAAUUGCAUUGGUGACUGCACGGCUAGAGUGUGUCAGAGGGGGGUAGAAUUCCACGUGUAGCAGUGAAAUGCGUAGAGAUGUGGAGGAAUACCGAUGGCGAAGGCAGCCCCCUGGGAUAACACUGACGCUCAUGCACGAAAGCGUGGGGAGCAAGCAGGAUUAGAUACCCUGGUAGUCCACGCCCUAAACGAUGUCAACUAGUUGUUGGGGAUUCAUUUCCUUAGUAACGUAGCUAACGCGUGAAGUUGACCGCCUGGGGAGUACGGUCGCAAGAUUAAAAGCUCAAAUGAAUUGACGGGGUCAUAGCUGUUUUCCUG
RNAcentral lists this ribosomal RNA (588 nucleotides) under uncultured bacterium. RNAcentral describes it as "partial 16S ribosomal RNA". It matches the Rfam family "Bacterial small subunit ribosomal RNA", at positions 355 to 1383 of the family's 1533-position model. The record is from RNAcentral.